RNAcentral lists this ribosomal RNA (640 nucleotides) under uncultured Planctomycetota bacterium. Its description in RNAcentral is "bacterial SSU rRNA". It matches the Rfam family "Bacterial small subunit ribosomal RNA", at positions 92 to 749 of the family's 1533-position model. The record is from RNAcentral. Lineage: Bacteria; Pseudomonadati; Planctomycetota.
ACAGCGGCGAAAGGGUGAGUAACGCGUAGUUACCUGCCCCAGGGUCCGGAAUAGCCUCGGGAAACUGAGGGUAAUGCCGGAUAAUAUCCCCGGAUCAAAGGUGAGAUUCCGCCCUGGGAGGGGACUGCGUACUACUAGCUUGUUGGUGGGGUAAAGGCCUACCAAGGCUACGAUGGUUAGCGGGCGUGAGAGCGUGGCCCGUCACACUGGGACUGAGACACUGCCCAGACACCUACGGGUGGCUGCAGUCGAGAAUCUUCCUCAAUGGGCGAAAGCCUGAAGGAGCAAUGCCGCGUGCGGGAUGAAGGCCCUCGGGUUGUAAACCGCGAAAGUAAGGAGGAAGGUCCGCCGAAGAGGCGGAUUUGACCGAUUUACAGUAAGGACGGGCUAAGUUCGUGCCAGCAGCCGCGGUAAGACGAACCGUCCAAACGUUAUUCGGAAUUAUUGGGCUUAAAGGGUGCGUAGGCGGCGCUGUAAGUCAGGUGUGAAAUCCCACGGCUCAACCGUGGAACUGCGCUUGAUACUGCCGUGCUUGAGGGAGACAGAGGUAAGCGGAACUGAUGGUGGAGCGGUGAAAUGCGUUGAUAUCAUCAGGAACACCAGUGGCGAAAGCGGCUUACUGGGUCUCUUCUGACGCUGA